UACAGUGGCGUACGGGUGAGUAACACGUGGGUAAUCUACCUCUUAGUGAGGAAUAACCCUGGGAAACCGGGGCUAAUACCGCAUAAGCCUGAGAAGGGAAAGCAGAAAUGCGCUGAGAGAGGAGCCCGCGGCCGAUUAGCUAGUUGGUGAGGUAAGAGCCCACCAAGGCAGAGAUCGGUAGCCGGCCUGAGAGGGCACACGGCCACACUGGCACUGAAACACGGGCCAG
This 229-nucleotide ribosomal RNA is filed under the name uncultured bacterium. Its description in RNAcentral is "partial 16S ribosomal RNA". It matches the Rfam family "Bacterial small subunit ribosomal RNA", at positions 91 to 334 of the family's 1533-position model. The record is from RNAcentral.